This 468-nucleotide ribosomal RNA is filed under the name uncultured bacterium. RNAcentral describes it as "partial 16S ribosomal RNA". It matches the Rfam family "Bacterial small subunit ribosomal RNA", at positions 28 to 507 of the family's 1533-position model. The record is from RNAcentral.
GACGAACGCUGGCGGCGUGCUUAACACAUGCAAGUCGAACGGAAAGGCCCUGCUUUUGUUGGGUGCUCGAGUGGCGAACGGGUGAGUAACACGUGAGUAACCUGCCCUUGACUUUGGGAUAACUUCAGGAAACUGGGGCUAAUACCGGAUAGGAGCUCCUGCUGCAUGGUGGGGGUUGGAAAGUUUCGGCGGUUGGGGAUGGACUCGCGGCUUAUCCGCUUGUUGGUGGGGUAGUGGCUUACCAAGGCUUUGACGGGUAGCCGGCCUGAGAGGGUGACCGGCGACAUUGGGACUGAGAGACGGACCAGAAGCCUACGGGAGGCAGCAGUGGGGAAUAUGGCACAAUGGGCGGAAGCCUGAUGCAGCAACGCCGCGUGCGGGAUGACGGCCUUCGGGGUGUAAACCGCUUUCGCCUGUGACGAAGCGUGAGUGACGGUAAUGGGUAAAGAAGCACCGGCUAACUACGUG